CGGAGAGUUUGAUUCUGGCUCAGAACGAACGCUGGCGGCGUGGAUAAGACAUGCAAGUCGAACGAAGAAUAUUCGGUAGCAAUACUGGGUAUUUUUAGUGGCGAAAGGGUGCGUAACACGUGGGUAAUCUACCGUAAAGUUCGGAAUAACUUCGAGAAAUCAAAGCUAAUACCGAAUGUGAUCUGACAGGGACAUCCCUGUUCCAUUAAAGCUGGGGACCUUCGGGCCUGGCGCUUUACGAUGAGCCCGCGCCCUAUCAGCUUGUUGGUGAGGUAAAAGCUCACCAAGGCUAAGACGGGUAGCCGGUCUGAGAGGACGAUCGGCCACACUGGAACUGAGACACGGUCCAGACACCUACGGGUGGCAGCAGUCGAGAAUCAUUCACAAUGGGGGAAACCCUGAUGGUGCGACGCCGCGUGGGGGAUGAAGGNCUUCGGNNUGUAAACCCCUGUCAUNUGUGANNAANNCUUNUNGUNUAANAGNUACNANNNNUGAUANUANCANAAGAGGAAGGGACGGCUAACUCNGUGCCAGCAGCCGCGGUAAUACNGAGGUCCCAAGCGUUGUUCGGAUUUACUGGGCGUAAAGGGUGCGUAGGNGGNNAGNAAAGUUUGNUGUGAAANCUNCGNGCUCAACNCGGAAANUGCAUUGAAUACUACUUGGCUUGAGGAUCGGAGGGGAGACUGGAAUUCUCGGUGUAGCAGUGAAAUGCGUAGAUAUCGAGAGGAACACCAGUGGCGAAGGCGAGUCUCUGGACGAUUCCUGACACUGAGGCACGAAAGCUAGGGGAGCAAACAGGAUUAGAUACCCUGGUAGUCCUAGCCGUAAACGGUGCACACUUGCUGUAGGAGGAUUCGACCCCUUCUGUGGCGGAGCAAACGCGUUAAGUGUGCCGCCUGGGGAGUACGGUCGCAAGAUUAAAACUCAAAGGAAUUGACGGGGACCCGCACAAGCGGUGGAGCAUGCGGCUUAAUUCGAUGCAACGCGAAGAACCUUACCUGGGCUUGACAUAUAGCUGCAUACGACCCGAAAGGGACGUAGCCUUCGAGGGUGCUAUACAGGUGCUGCAUGGCUGUCGUCAGCUCGUGCCGUGAGGUGUUGGGUUAAGUCCCGCAACGAGCGCAACCC
This 1128-nucleotide ribosomal RNA is filed under the name Pedosphaera sp. RNAcentral describes it as "partial 16S ribosomal RNA". It matches the Rfam family "Bacterial small subunit ribosomal RNA", at positions 1 to 1104 of the family's 1533-position model. The record is from RNAcentral. Lineage: Bacteria; Pseudomonadati; Verrucomicrobiota; Pedosphaerae; Pedosphaerales; Pedosphaeraceae.